Helianthus annuus (common sunflower) is the source of this 1905-nucleotide long non-coding RNA. RefSeq lists it as uncharacterized. The record is from RefSeq and is a predicted model, not a curated record. NCBI's taxonomy places the organism in Eukaryota, Viridiplantae, Streptophyta, Magnoliopsida, Asterales, Asteraceae. The transcript is spliced from 3 exons.
AACUUAAGACAAACAAAUCAAAACCCUAGCUUCCAAUUUCAUACCAAUGGUUUGCAAGUCUUCGACCACUACCGUUCCCCCGCCCCUCCGUCGCCUCUCUCACCUUUGUCAGAUUCUACAACGAAGUUCCUAUACAGCAAAGGAAAAAUCAAAGGAGUCCAUGCUGGAGGCAAUGAGAUCUGUUUCGGUAAAUCAUACAACCCAUGAACAUUCGUCGUUUGUUGUGGUGUGUUUCCGUUCAACUCCGUUCGAGUCAGCACAACACCGACUCCGUUGCCUCUCUUCAGUCCAACUUUUAGGGCUCAAAUGUCAUCUAUCAGAAACAACUGUUUCUUUAAACCCAUAAACCCCAUUAUCGCCACCGGACCACCGUUAUUGUCUCCAGGACCUUCACAUCAACUCUUAUUUGAUAGCCGCUGCAACAAAAACAUCAACUUACAAGAAUGAGGGUAACGAUAUUAAGGGAGUUGUGGAGGAAUUUGGUAUACCGAAAAGUGAAAAUCUGAAUCAACUCGAGUUGCAAUCUUCAUAGCGUUUUGCAAACGAAAUGUUUGCACUAGUCUUAUCCUUUGCCCUUCUUCUUACUUCCUUAAAAAGUCGCAAAGCAAGAUCGUGGGGUUAUGGAACAGGGUGGCUAAGGGGAUUUAUUGUGGAUUAUGGGGUCCCGGUUAUGGUGGUUGUUUUGACUGGUGUAUCAGACAUACCAACUAAUAGUGUCCCGGAAGGAAUGCCUAGGCGACCUUUUAGUCCAAAUCCGUGGUCUCCUGGUGCUUAUACAAAUUGGACCGUUGUAAAGGAUAUGUUGACGUUCCACUUAUUGGAGCUUUUGUUCCAGCCACCAUGAUUACGGUUCUUUAUUAUUAUGAUCAUAGUGUUGCUUCUCAAUGUGCACAACAAAAAGAGGUUAAUUUAAAAAAAAGUCGUCUUCGUAUCAUUAUGGUCUUCUUUUGUUAGGUUUUUUUUGGUAAAUAAACAUUCACUCCAUGACAAUUACUUCUUUUUUCUUUUUAGUACAUAUAGUUAUUUAUAUAUUAUUUUUUGUUAAAUAGAUCUUAAUAUGCUGGCGAAUUGGCAAUCCUCCUGCCAAUGGAGUUAAUCCACAUUCUCCUAUGCACACAAAGAAUUUGGUGGGGCUUGGAAUGAAAAUCGAUAUAUGCAUACUUAUCACGGCAAAUUAUUGAUUCAGUAACUACAGUUAGAAUUUUUAUUGUUGAAACCUUUGCAGACCAUUAAUUAGUGUUAGUUAUUUGGUACCUUCUUACGAAAUGACCUGGACCUAUUUUGGGGAAAACACGUUCUGACCUGACCCCAAACAACCAUCUUUUGAACUAACACGUUUUGCCCCAGACCCGUUCUAGCCCCAACGCAUCCUGACCCGCCACCCACCCGACCCAACUCAACCAUUUUGCCACUCAUCCGUGCGUAAAACAAAAAAAAAUACGCUUAUUUUACUAGAAGUUGUAUUAGUUGUCAAAGGAUUUGAAGUUGAUUAGUUGUCAUAGGAUUAGAAGUUGUAGUUUUCUUUGGUUGAUUACCCGUUUCAACCCCUUGUGCUCAAUACUAGGUGGAUUAGUUGUAGUACGUGAAAGCUUAAAACACAAAAUUUCCUACUAUUAUGAACUGAUUUUACUAGAUGUUGAUAAACAUAACAGUGGUUGCUCACCACAGUUUAAGAAUGACAUGGCAUCAUAUAUUUAGACACUUAAAAGCUGCAUUUAAGAAAAUUAGAGCAAAAGAAGCUGAAUAAUUCUUUCAUUCAAGUAUAAGAAAUAGUUCAAAUAGGUUGACGCCUGGUAGAUUGACGCUAAUUUGGUUCUGGUAGAACCACGUUUUGCCCUAAACUAUUUGCCCAUAACACCUGUAUUCCAUGGAAAACCAGUCCCUUACCUUCAUCUCAUUCUUUUC